UGAGCCUCGCAGAUGACAGAGCAUGGAUAAACAGCCAUCCUGCAGCUGUUUCCGUGGUGGAUAAGACAACUCCUACACCUCCUUGACUUCUUUUCACAUUUCCACCACUCUGCUUUUCCAGACCACUCACUUUGCCAGUUGAAGACCCAGUCAACUCUGCUGGAAGCCUGGGAUCAUGGUUAAGGAGACAGGCUAUAUCACUGUGCUGCAAGUAUGGGAAGCAUGGAAUUAGUUUUGUGGAGGCUUCAAGGGGGGAGCAGUCUGAUUGAGUACUUUGUGUAAGAGAACGCACUGACUGCAGCAUUGAAACAAAGUGUGUUUACACUACGUUAGUGUACUAUUACAGACAUUGUGUGACACAACUGGAGAGAGGAUGGACUAUCAACAGGUAGCCAGAAGCCUGGGGCUUUUGGAGGGAGGAAAGGACGUCAUGAAUGCAGAAGAGCAUCUCCAUUACUUAGGGUGGAGGGUAGAAAUGAAAAACCUGAGGUCUGGCUCUGUAAUCUCCUUCUGCCUAUCUGCGGGCAGGUUACUCCCACUGUCACGCUGCUCCUGAAGUCUCUCCACAUCUACUCCAAGAGGUAAUUGCUGAGACCCAGCAGCACCCUGAGCUUCUGCAGUCAUUCCUCCUUCCCAUCUUCAAGACAAAUGCAUUCCAUUUAUCAUAA
Poecile atricapillus (Black-capped chickadee) is the source of this 668-nucleotide long non-coding RNA. RefSeq lists it as uncharacterized. The record is from RefSeq and is a predicted model, not a curated record. The transcript is spliced from 4 exons. NCBI's taxonomy places the organism in Eukaryota, Metazoa, Chordata, Aves, Passeriformes, Paridae.